This 253-nucleotide ribosomal RNA is filed under the name uncultured bacterium. RNAcentral's name for it is "partial 16S ribosomal RNA". It matches the Rfam family "Bacterial small subunit ribosomal RNA", at positions 524 to 776 of the family's 1533-position model. The record is from RNAcentral.
UACAUGGGGUGCAAACGUUGCUCGGAAUUAUUGGGCGUAAAGCGCGCGUAGGCGGUUACUUAAGUCGGAUGCGAAAGCCCUCGGCUUAACUGAGGAAGUGCACCCGAAACUGAGUAGCUAGAGUACGAAAGAGGGUCGCGGAAUUCCCGGUGUAGAGGUGAAAUUCGUAGAUAUCGGGAGGAACACCGGUGGCGAAGGCGGCGACCUGGGUCGAGACUGACGCUGAGGCGCGAAAGCGUGGGGAGCAAACAGG